Theobroma umbraticum is the source of this 10863-nucleotide non-coding RNA. NCBI's taxonomy places the organism in Eukaryota, Viridiplantae, Streptophyta, Magnoliopsida, Malvales, Malvaceae. The record is from RefSeq and is a predicted model, not a curated record.
CGGUGAGGACGCUGGCCUGUUGCUCUUCUCUGCAGCGUUUGGUUUUUCUCCUGUACUGCAUUUAUUCGUUUGGGUUUCAGUGAUUGUCUGUUAUACCGUAAGGAGUUGGAUUGGAAUUGCGUUUUUGGAUUUUUAUUUAUUUAUGGAAGUAGUGACAGAAAUCGGUUGAAUCUCGGAUUUUGUGUUAUUAGAUUGUUCUUGUCUUCUUGGAAUCGACGGUGAUCAUGCGAUUCUGUUGACGUCGAUCCCUUGUGAUGACGAUUGGUCUAACUCUUAACCUGUUAUUAAGAACUGAUUAAAUGGAUUUGUUUUGAUAUCUAUUCUUCUCGGAGUUUUCACAAAAGCAUUGCUACUGUUCAUUUUUUAACGUAAUUAAGAGUAUUGGCUAUCUUUUCAUUGGAUUAUGUUGUGCAGAUGGGCAGAUGGUUCUUUUGGGUUUCUUUCCUCUGUUACGAGAUUUAAGGAGUUGCAGUGUUGGCAGCGUAACUGUUUUUCGUGGACAGAAUUUGGUUUGGUCGUUGAGUUUUAUAUUUCUUCAUGUUUAUAAUUUUGGAAGUUUGGAAAAAAAUAUUUCAAUACAAGGUUUCUGCCUGCAGUGAUGUUGCUGCUAAUUCCUUUUGUGAAGAGCUGAUCCUUCAACUUUCUCAUGGCCGUGAGGAAGGUUUCUCCUUCUGCCUUGUGAAUAAUAUUGUCUUUUGAAGUUCAUUAGUAACAUGUCAGAAGAUAAAGAUAUUGUUAGUAUGUUUUUUGUGAAUGCAGUUUGGAAGAGAUGAGGAGAUACUAAAUGACCGUGGCAUACUGCUUUUGAUUUGCUGAGAUUCCUUAUUAAUUUGGUUUAAACAGGAGUUUUUUAUGGUAGUGCGGACAUAAGAUAUAUAUGCUAAUUUUUUAUGAUUGUGAGUUUGAGUUUUAAUUGUGAAAUCUGUGUUCUCUUGGGGUUUGCUUAUUAAUUCCGGAUAAAGAGAGGUUGAACAUAACUUCAUAUACUAAUUUUUCGUGGUUGUGAGUUUGGGUUCUUGUUCUGAAGCCUAUAUCUUGCUGGGAUUUGUUUGUGUUUGUAAGAAGAGAGUCACCAGAUUACAAGUUAUGUCAGUUCUGAUUUUGCUUUCUCUUGGUCUUGAUAUCUGAUUUGCAUCAUUGUUUUGAAGGUAUAUAGUUUUUUAGAAGUGUAGGCAGCAGACAUGAAGCUUCUUAGAAACUUUUGUUCGCAUAAUUUAUUUCUUUAUUUCCGGUUAUAUUUUCAUUAGUUACAUUGGCACAAGAGGAACUCGUGGAAGAUGUGGACAUUAAGGACUUCAAACUGGUGACGUUUGUUCCUUUUACCUUUUUGUUUGCAUUUCACUGUUUCUUUCUCUUGUUUUUGGGCUUGACUUAUGGUUUUUGUAGGUAGUUGUUGACAAGAGCAAUGUUGGAAAUUUUACCUUCAGCUCAUAAGACAAAAGUCUAUAGUCUGAUUGUACAGAUUCUUUUUUUAAUUUUAUUUUCCACCAUUUUUAGAACCUCUUGGUUUUUAAGACUUCCUAUUGGAUUUAACUCUCAAGGAGAUUUUGUUUCCUGGUUCUUCAUAACUCUCUAAAAUAUUUGGUUUUGGAAGACCAUUUGUUGGUACCGUGCUUGAGAUGACUUUUCGACCCUUUUAUUAUUUAGAAGUGUGUUUGGUGUUAUCAAUUUCCAGAAUUAUUAUGAUAAAGGACAAAGAUGAUGGAUUUUGCAGGAAUAGGGGUUUCUUUUGGCAUCUUUUCUUGGUCAGAUUUUCACUACAGUCUUGGAAUUUUGAACGUUGUCAAAGCAAUUGUUUUGGGUAGUAUGCCUUGUAAUUUGAUUUUGCAACAAUAGUUUGUAGAUCCUUCCAACUUUUGAUUAGAUCUCUUUUUCAUAUUAAUAGAUGGUUCUUCAUUCUGCUGUGUUCUUUUUUGGAUUCCCAUAAUGCAGAGAUGGAUAAUACUGAGAUUUUGAUACUAUCUACAUCAAGAUUCGAGCUAAAUCAUCCAAUAGGUUUUUCUUGUUCUGUAUUUUUUUAUUUUACUAGCAAAAGCCUUUCUCAUUUCUUUUUUUUUUAGGUUUUGGAAUUUUGUAAUUUUUUAAGGUUUUCAUGCAGUAUAUUGGUUUUGAUUGAUCGUUUGCCCUUAUUUGAUUCUUGGGUUAGAGGCUGCUCUUAGGAACUAUUAGCAUUCCACAGGGAAAAUGAGAUCUUAUGUGAGCUUUGUUAUUUCAUAUCUUUGUGGAUGAAGUGCUUUUCAAAAAAAAAAAAAAAAUCUUUGUGGAUGAAGCUUGGGAGGAAGGGAUUGGUAAGAGAUGGAAAGUGAUAAUAGACGGCCACUUAAUUGUGUUUGUGUGCUUGGAGUUCUAUAGUGAUAUCUAUUUUGUGAUUGUAGGUAGUGGCGGAUAUUUAUAGUUUUUCAACUUUUGUUGACUAAUAUAAUGCAUUUGGGCUUCACUGUCUUGGAUUACGGAGUUAAUUGGAUCGUAUAAAUGUCUUGAAGGUGUUAUUUUGUAAGGAAAUUGAUUUGAUUUUGUUUAACUGAAAAAGAUUCUUUGUAAUUCAAGUUUUUUAUAAUGGUCCUAAUUAAUGGUUUUUAUGUGUAGUCUGAGGAGGUCGGUUGGUCUCUAGUAAUGGAGAAAUUUGUUGCUAUGUUUUCAUGCCCUAUUCUUUGUGUACCUUCCACCAUUUUCUUUCUUUCAAAACUCCAUGUCCUUUAUGUUCUUAAUGCAUUGUUUUGGGAAAGCAAAAAACUUGGGAGUUGGUUUGACUUUAAAUCUUAUAAAAAAUUUAGAACAUUUUUUUAUGUGUUUUGACAUGGUGAUUUUGACUCUCUAGUCUCUGUUUUGCUUCUUUUGCCUUUUUGUUUGGUUUUCGAACUUCUUAGUGUUUAAUAGUUUUGUUCUUGAUGGUUUUGUUUGGUUUGAUUCUCAAUAUUCUCAAUCAUGUGUUUAGAUGGUAGUGUUGGUAAUGGGGCUCUCUGAUACUUCAGGUGCUGUUUGAGGUUAUCAGUUAGAAUUGAAGAAAAGACAGGGAUGGAAGAUUUGGAAGCAGUGGGUGAUUUUGGAGCUGGUAUUUUGGAGCGUUCUUCUGGGAUGUAUUGAUUGGAAACUUGAAUACAGCAAUUUGUAGCUCAAUGGCUAGGAUUGUGAGGGCUUUAUCACAAAGAAAUGAUUGUGGAUAAUAUGGUAUUUGGAAUUCUGAUUGAGUCAAUCUGGAGUUGAUUUGAGUGUUACUAAGAUCAGUUUGUUGUUUGAUUUUAACAGAUGGAAUGUGGGAUUCUCAAACUGGGGUGGAUAAUUCAUCAAUCUUGCUGCAGUUUAAAGCUUUUAGGUUUGGCAGUGUUUGAAGAAGUUAUUUGAUACUUGAAUUUUUGAUGCAGUUGCUGCUUUUGUCUGGUUUUUACAUUUCUAAUUUCUUUUAUCAUUUAGUCUCCUGGUAUUUGGGCUAAGAACUUUUUAUGGAUUUUGGUAGGAAGUUUUCUGCAAUUUCUGUGUGACCAUACACAUUAUGUUGGGAGUAUGAAAGAUUCUAUAUAUUGGGUUGAUGGAGUCUGAAUAGAGAAGGGUAAGCAGAUGCAGAGACAAUUGAUGGCCAUGAUCUAUGUUAUGUUUUCUCUUUCUAAUUCAUUUAAAUGAUCUUGAAGUUUUACAGGCAGUGAUCAUAUUGCUUCAAUGAACAGUAAUUGUUGUAGAUCCAGUGAUAAUUGAUGGCCAUGGUUUGUGUCGUGUCUUCACUUAAUAAUUCAUAUAUGGGGUUCAUCUCGAUGUUUAACAGGCAGUUAUCACCUUGCUUAUAAUAAGAACAUUAAUUUUCUAAUGUGAUUGUGUUGUGGACUUUGAUCCUAUUGGCAUUUCUUAUGGUGGGAGAGACCUUUCCAGAUAUCAAACUUUGUCAUCUUUCUUUGCACGUUAGCUUUUUUUUUUGUUGGUAAUGUUAAUCUUUCUGGCCUCCAAACUGCUGUUCAUCAGUAGCGGAAAAUGGAUCAUGGCUUUUAUAAGUUUUCUUGUUAAAGUCUUUUGUAUGCAUUGGUUGGUUGGCUGGACAUUGUGAUGGGGAAAUUUGAUAUCUUCAUUUCUUGCUAUUGAUUCUUGUUCAUUGUUGGAGGAUCUUUUACUUUGAUCUUCUUGUUUUAGAAAAAUAUAGAAGCUAGAAGCCGUUUGUCCUUUGUGUUGUUUGUUUUUCUGUGGACUGUUUUUUGCCUUUUGUUUGUGACAAUCUCAACUCCUAGUGUUCAUAGGUAGUUGUUGACAACAGCAAUGUUGGAAAUUCUAUCCUCAGCACAUAACACAGAUAUAAUACUAUAGUUAUAUACAUCAAAAUUUUCCCACCCUUGAUCCCUCUUGGUUUUUUUCACUUGUAAUAUCCUUUUACUAUGGUUGACCUCUUGGUUUUUAUUGCUUGUAAUAUCUUUUUAUGGUUUUGUUUGCUCAGGGUUGUGGAUUUUGAAUUUCUGAAUCCUGUCUCAACUCAAGACUCUUGAGGAAAUUUGCUCCCUGGUUCUUAUCCAAUCUUUUUAAACUUUUUAGUUUUGGAGCUUUUAGGAUCCUGAGUAGUUAAUGUCACUGAGUGUGAUAUGACUUUUGGACCCUUUAUUGUUUUAGAUGCUGAUGUAGUUUCCACAAUUCAAAGCAGGAAGUGCAAGGAUGAAGAUCUUGCUGAAUUUGGAAUAGUGGUGUUUCUCUACAUUUGUCCUAAAUUUGUUUUUUCUUCGUUUGGUUAGGUUUUUGUGCAGUAUGUUGCUUUGGUUGCUUUCUGUGCUUCAUGUUCUUGAUUCUUGGGUCUCCACGGGCUGCUGUUAAAAAUUAUUAGCAAUUAUGCUGAGAUAAUGAGAUCUUAUGUAACUUUGUUAUCCCUUUGUUGAUGGAGAUUGGGUAAGUAGAUAAGGAGGUGACGCCAUUUUAAUUGUCUAUGUCUUACAUAUACCCAAAAUUUGCUUACUGGGGUCCUUGGCCAGAACCACACGUGCAAGUUUCCCUGCAUGUAGCUCGUCCGUGCUUUCCGAGGCACUGCUGUGACUCAGCAUGAGAGAAGGGGGCGGAACUGCACUCUCUCGUGUUCAUCGCAUUGUCCAAGUGAGUAGGCAGCGCCUACCAAGCAAAGCUUUCUUGAGGAGGCUGGGCUGCAUCCUUUUCGGUAAACCACCUCUUUUUAUUCUUCUUUACUAAAAGCUGUUUGGAAAGAUUCCGGUAAUCACUUGCUUGUUUCAAAAGGUUGCAGACAUCCUUGCUGACUGGAACAGUAAUGUUAUGCUGACAUUUUUCUUGUGUUUGUGAUUGAUAACUAUAUGAAUCCUUCUGUGAUUGUAGGUACCAAAUACUUUUCUGGUUUCUCAAGCUCUGCCACUAGCGUAUAUUUCAGUUGUGUUUUCAUUUCUUGGAUUUUUGAAGUCUAGUUUUAAUUAGUUUUUAUAAAUGUCUGGAACAUGUUACUUUGUGAGGGCUUCAAAUUGAAUGGAUUUUUUUUAACUGAAAAAAUAUCUUUGUAAUUCCAGCUUUUGUAGUGGUCCUAAUCAAUAUUUUUAUGUACAGUGGUUGCUUGGGCUUUACCAACGGAAAAAUUUCUUACUUAGUCUUUUAUUUUCUGUUUUGGAUUCCUGUGUUCUGCGCCCAAUACUUUUUAACUUUUAUCCUUUUCUUUUCAUAAGUCUCCUGCCCUUUAAGUUCUUAAACUUUUGCUAUUUUCUUUUUUGAUCAAAUGCUUCUGGAAGGAGAUCAAUUUGGUGUUUCUUUUGUGUUUUUUGUUGUCAGGUUUUGGAAGCCAAAACAUAAUCAAGGUGGUUUGCCUUUAAAAUCAUUUUUUAUUAUCUAUUGCUUAAAUUCCCAAAAUUUAUUGAUAUGCGUUUUUUACAUGCAGUUGUCAACAACAGUAUGCUUAGUUGAUGAGUAAUUCUUUCCCUGGUAUUUUGAGAAAAAUACCUUUAUAGUUCCAGCUAGUUUUUAUAAUGGUCCUAAUUAAUGGUUUUAUAUGCAGUGGUCAGUUGGGCUCUACUAAUGGAGAAACUUGUUGCAAAGUCUUGAUUUCCUUUUUUGGAUUCUUGUGUUCUGUGUGCAUUAUCUUUCACCUUUUAGCUCUGUUUUUCUUAAGUUCAAAACUCCCUUGUCCUUUAUGUUUUGAAUGUUUAGCUUUUGUAUUUGUUUUUUGUUUUUGUUGUUAGAGGUUUUGGGGAGGCAAAACUUAAUGGAUUUGGUUUGACUACCUAUUUCUCUUCACUUUUUGGCAAGAAUUUGAAAGUUUUCUGAUAUAUGCGUUUGUUGAUGAGAUUCUUGAGCAUUUUGGAUUUAUGUUUUCAUAUUCUCGUAAUUUUUUUUCUCUUUUUUUUUUCCCCUUUUUGGCCUCUCUUUGUUCGCUUAGACUCAUGUUUUUGUUUGGUUGGUUUGUCUUGAUUUUGCAGUCCUGUAUUUAAAUGAUGUGCUGCUAAAGAGGCUAUUCGAUAUUUGUACGUUCUGUUUGAGGUUAUCAGUUAUAAAUAUUAGAGAAUAUGAGAGCACGAUUGAAGAACAAUGGUGGGUGAGGGUUUCUUGUGAAAGGUUCUUUUUACACUAUAUCUAUACAUCUCUCCAUUUGUCAGUCAGAUGUUCCAUUUUAGUGUUUGGAGUAAGUGAUUUUGACUCAAAUUUUAUGGGAUGUUAUUUACGUGAAUCUUGGAUAUUGCUGAUUGUGGACAAUCUAAUAUUUGAGAUCUGGAAAGCAGAUCUGGGUUGAUUUGCAGUGUUUCUAAGACCAGUUUGUUGUUUAGUCUGGUUUCAUCUUACAUGCAGAUGUUGGGAUUCUUGAGUUGGAACGGAUGAUCCGUCAAUCUUUCAGCUGUAUAAGCUUGGUUUGGCAAUGUUUGAAGUUAUUUGAUACAUGUAUUUUUGGUGCAGUUAUUUGACUGGUUUUUAACUUUUCUAACUUCUUUAUCCCUUAGUCUCUCUGUGCUUGUGAAUUUUCAGUGCAUUUUAGUAGGAAGUCUUAUCCAAUGUAUGUCUGGUUAUUCAUGUUAUGUUUAGGAGUGUAAGAUUGUUGUAUAUUGUGGUGGAUGAAGUUCAAAGAAUGAAGACAGAAAGGGGUAAGCAGAUGCAGAGAUAAUUAUUGAUCAUGGUCUAUGUUACCUCUUUUCGCUAGAAUCCAUAACCUUGGGGGUUUAGCUUUAUGUUUUACAGGCAGGGAUCACUUUGGGACCGUAAUUUUCUGAGACACUAGUGUAUGGAGUUGUUAUAGUGGUACAUGUUGUAAACCUGUUGUGGGAAGAAUAUUCCAGCAUUUCAAGUUCUGUGACAUUUUUCUGUACAAAAUUUGCUUCUCUCAUCUCUUUGAAGUGUAUUUGGAAAUUAGAGGUAUAUUUUCUGUGAUUGGGUUUUUUUUUCAAGUUUUGGACGCAGAAGUAGAGGAGAGGAAGAUAUUGCUUGUAAAGGACUUUGGACAGGAUGGAUUUGACUGAUUUCCAUUUUCUCUAAAUAUAUUGUCCAUGAUGAUAAAUGGUAUAUCUAUGCUUUUGGUUUGCUGGCUGUAUUGGUUCCUAUUUGAUCUUGUUGUGGAACCCCUGAUUGACAGGAAUUAGUCUUGGAUGCACUUUUGAGCUAGAAAAUUUGGGGAAUCCAGAACAGAUGAACGCCAUCUAUAAAGGGUUCUUUCUCAGCUCUCAAUCUUGCAUUUGUGGUUUCCAAUGAGAAAAUGCAGGCUUGUCUUCUCUUCAGCGUCUAAGCUUUUCUCCUCAGCAUUUGUUUCUAAUUUUCUUUGCAUAUUGGCUUUGGUUUCUUUAAUUGUUUGUUUUGUUUUUUCAUUAUUGGAUUUCAUUUGUCAUGUUGAUAUUUUUUUGUAAGUCCUAUCGAAACAAGAAGUAGAUGUCGGAUGAAUCUUGUUUUUUGUGUAGAUUGUUCUUGGAGUAUAAGAUCUUGUGAUUCUCUUGACGUUGAUUGUGGAUAUUGAGAUAUGGUUUGAUACUUUGGUGGGUGUUCAGCCUUUCUGCGAAGGAUUGGGAAUGAUUAUUUUGGAUUAUUGGCUCUGUAUUUAAUUGAUUCAGUUGUCCAGAUGGCAGAUGGUUCUUUUGGGUUUGUUUUCUCUUCUAAUACGAGAUUUAUGAAGUCAGAGAUCAUCCCAUGGUGACGGCUCUAUGGAGGUUUGGAAAAUAUUUCAAUACAUGAUUUAUAUCUGCAGUGCUGGGUUUUCCUUUUCUAAAGUGCCUUGUACGUUGCCAUGACCCCCUCAUAGUUAUUAGGAAGUCAAUGAAAAUUAUAAGUAUCUUUUGUGAAUGUAGUUUGGAAGAGAUGAGUUUAUGUUGCCAUGCCUAUACUGCUAUUUGAUUUAUUUUUGAGUUCUUAUUGUGAGGAUUUGUCUAUGUAUAUUUUACAAGUCAGGUCAGUUCUGAUUUUGCUCUACUCGGGUUCAUUGUCUUAUUCGGAUCAUCGCAUAGUUUUAAGUAUCUUUUCAAAUUUUUAUUUUUUAAAAGCGAAGUAUCUUUUCAAAUUUACUGGAAAGAGCUUUUUGAGAAAUAAUUUUUUUAAUUUUAAUGUAAAUAUGUAAGAACAAAAAUAAAAUUAGCUAUAGUUAAAAAUAAAUUUUUAAAAAAUCUUGAUGUAAUGCGAUAUUAAGCAUUGUUGAUAAAUCUUAAAAAAGUUUGUAUUUUUUUCAAAUUAUUUAUUAAAAUUUGUAAGUGUCAAUGUUGUAUAAAUAAUUUAUUUAAUUUUUAAGAAUAAAUUUAAGAAUAAAGAUGGUUGAAAUUGGUAUUCAAAAUCUUCACUUUAAUUUAUAAAAAUAAGGUAUAAAGAUUAAUUAAAUAAAAAAUUAAUAUUAAAAUGUUUAAUGCUUUUUUAAAAAGUUUGUAUUUCUCAGAUCAAUAUUAAAGUUAGAAAUUAAUAGUAAAAAAUAAUAAUUUUUUUAAAAAAGGUAACUAUACGAAAAAUAAUGGAAAAAUAACGAAAUCUUAAACUUAAUUUUUUUAAAUCAUCACAACACAUAUAUAUAAAUUAAUAGUAAAAAGAAAUAAAAAGUAGUACUUAAUUUUUUUUAUAAACAGAAUUUACAUUAAUUUUUAUGUACUCUUAAUACCUCUACACAUUACUGUUGAAUAAUAACAUAUUGCCUUCCCAAAAAUAAAAUAAUAAUUGAGAAAAACAGUCUUUUUCUUUUAUUCUGGAAUAAAUAUUAUGGAAUUAAUCAUACUCAUACAAAUAAGGGAGACAGUUAGGAUAAAACAAAAAAGAAACAUUCAUAUUUAUUAUAUUCAUUAUCCAUGUCAUUCGCAAAUGGUUGGAUAUACUUUGAUAUAAAAAAUACUAUACUAAAACACAAGUGGCAAGUUAAAUUUUAAUUAUUUCGUCUCUAUAAAAAACUCAUUGGGACACGUGUUAUUGGCUCAACUAUGAUUAUCUAUUUGUUGUAUAUGAUUGACACGUACAUAAGGGAUACUUUUGUAAAUCAAUUAAAGUUUUAUUUGGUUGACCGUCUUUGUCUUCUUACUUCACAUUCAAUUCUUUUUGUUUCCGAUUUCAGGGCUUGCUUGUGUGUGUGUGUGUGUGUUUUUUUUUUUUUGUAAAAUUAUAUUGUUUGGAGUAUUUUUGCACUCUCAAAAAUUUUAGCAAUAAAAACUCUUAAUACAAGUAACAAUUGUGAAUAACAUAAUCACGUUAUUUUUUAUAAUGAUGUGAUAGUGUUAUGUUAUUUUGUCAUGUUAGUAUUAAGUGUUAUGUCAACAUUAUGUUAGUAUUAUAAUUAUUGAUUUAAAUAAAAAAUAUAAAAAAAUUAAAUUAAAAUAAUUUUAAAAUAAAUAUAUUAAAAUAUUAUAAUUUGAAAUAAAGAGAUUAAAUUGAAAAAAAUAUUUUAAGGACUUUUCAGAUAUUUGAAUUUGUACAAAUUCCAUCUUCUCUUACAAUCAGAUGUGGAGUAUCUCGACUGGUUUAAUUGGCAAUAGAUUUAAUUCUAGCCUCAACAUAACACUUUUCUUGUUAAUAAUUUCAUAUAUUAAUGGAGAAAAAUGAUGUGCAAGAGCAAGACUGCUAUAAUAUCUAUAGAUCUAGAGAAAGAAAAGGACAAAGAGGAGGAGAGGAAAGUCGACGACAACUAAUCCUAUAAAUGUGAUUACAACAGAACUGAAGGUCCAAUGAAUGUGACUCUCUAGGACUUAUCCGAGGCUAUGUAGGAGGUGUUUCUGUGGGGAGCUUAGGUUGAGGUUGUGACGCCGAAGGCAAGGCUUAGGGCUUAGGGCUUAGCGGGGCUUGUGAGGAUUUUGAGCAGCAGCACCUUUUUUGCACUUAGGACAGCAGCUUAGGCAGCAGGAAACCAAGGAGUGCAGUCAGGAGAAGGAUGGGCAUACAUGAGCAGUGAACGCGGAGAAUUCACUUUCCAUCUUUGAUGAAGGUGGAGGAACUCAUGACAGCAACAACUACCGAGGGAGCAGCAGCCAGCAAUGUGUAGUGGAAGCGGUGGCGCAAUUCAGUUUAGAUCACCCCUGGAGGCCUAAACAGGAGGCGCUACGUGCAUGAUUUUGUGAAGGGCAAGGAAGUUUUGCAGGGCAAUCAAGGAAUGAUACAGCUAAAACACGGUCGACUUACUCGGGCUAUAGGAUUAACAAUUCAUGCGAACAGGAAGGAUUUUGAGAGCACGACCCGGGCCUUCGUAACCACGGGUACUCGACUGGGGUUAUAUCUGGAAUAUGGCGUCCCCCGGGACAUCUAGCGUGAUAGAACCGCAACCUACCUCUUCGAAUCUCAUACGAAUAGGGAUUGCAAACACAGAUUAUGAAAUGGUCUCAAUAUAUAGUGACAUGACUGUCACAAACCUCCUGCCUACUCAGGACUAAGACCGACAGCGUUAUGUACUUUUUUGCAAUUCCAGUUAUGUAGUUGGAAUCCAUUUGCCACUUUAGCAAUUGCAGAAGUCGGGAUAAUGUGUUAUUUAUCAUA